This 237-nucleotide long non-coding RNA is filed under the name Drosophila guanche. The record is from RNAcentral. Lineage: Eukaryota; Metazoa; Arthropoda; Insecta; Diptera; Drosophilidae.
GGAAACUGGAAACUGGCAUGGCUGAGCCAGGAGCAGCUGCUCGGGUUCGCUGAAGCUGAAGCUGAAGAUGGAAAUGGUAAUGGAGAGAUGGAGAAACGGAGUUGCAGAUGGAGCAGGGCCCCCAAGGAAACUGUUUAAAAAUUAUUGAAGGAGACACACUGAAAAAACAAUAAGAGAAUAACGACAAUUAGCGUGGCUGAGAACAAAGUUAAGCAUUUGAUGAAGCGCAGACGAGCG